Molecule: ribosomal RNA, 1370 nt
Filed under: uncultured bacterium
Lineage: Bacteria
Description: bacterial SSU rRNA
Rfam family: Bacterial small subunit ribosomal RNA
Source: RNAcentral
GACGAACGCUGGCGGCGUGCCUAAUACAUGCAAGUAGAACGCUGAAGAAGAGGAGCUUGCUCUUCUUGGAUGAGUUGCGAACGGGUGAGUAACGCGUAGGUAACCUGCCUUGUAGCGGGGGAUAACUAUUGGAAACGAUAGCUAAUACCGCAUAACAAUGGAUGACACAUGUCAUUUAUUUGAAAGGGGCAAUUGCUCCACUACAAGAUGGACCUGCGUUGUAUUAGCUAGUAGGUGAGGUAACGGCUCACCUAGGCGACGAUACAUAGCCGACCUGAGAGGGUGAUCGGCCACACUGGGACUGAGACACGGCCCAGACUCCUACGGGAGGCAGCAGUAGGGAAUCUUCGGCAAUGGGGGCAACCCUGACCGAGCAACGCCGCGUGAGUGAAGAAGGUUUUCGGAUCGUAAAGCUCUGUUGUAAGUCAAGAACGAGUGUGAGAGUGGAAAGUUCACACUGUGACGGUAGCUUACCAGAAAGGGACGGCUAACUACGUGCCAGCAGCCGCGGUAAUACGUAGGUCCCGAGCGUUGUCCGGAUUUAUUGGGCGUAAAGCGAGCGCAGGCGGUUUGAUAAGUCUGAAGUUAAAGGCUGUGGCUCAACCAUAGUUCGCUUUGGAAACUGUCAAACUUGAGUGCAGAAGGGGAGAGUGGAAUUCCAUGUGUAGCGGUGAAAUGCGUAGAUAUAUGGAGGAACACCGGUGGCGAAAGCGGCUCUCUGGUCUGUAACUGACGCUGAGGCUCGAAAGCGUGGGGAGCGAACAGGAUUAGAUACCCUGGUAGUCCACGCCGUAAACGAUGAGUGCUAGGUGUUGGAUCCUUUCCGGGAUUCAGUGCCGCAGCUAACGCAUUAAGCACUCCGCCUGGGGAGUACGACCGCAAGGUUGAAACUCAAAGGAAUUGACGGGGGCCCGCACAAGCGGUGGAGCAUGUGGUUUAAUUCGAAGCAACGCAAAGAACCUUACCAGGUCUUGACAUCCCGAUGCUAUUUCUAGAGAUAGAAAGUUACUUCGGUACAUCGGUGACAGGUGGUGCAUGGUUGUCGUCAGCUCGUGUCGUGAGAUGUUGGGUUAAGUCCCGCAACGAGCGCAACCCCUAUUGUUAGUUGCCAUCAUUCAGUUGGGCACUCUAGCGAGACUGCCGGUAAUAAACCGGAGGAAGGUGGGGAUGACGUCAAAUCAUCAUGCCCCUUAUGACCUGGGCUACACACGUGCUACAAUGGUUGGUACAACGAGUUGCGAGUCGGUGACGGCAAGCUAAUCUCUUAAAGCCAAUCUCAGUUCGGAUUGUAGGCUGCAACUCGCCUACAUGAAGUCGGAAUCGCUAGUAAUCGCGGAUCAGCACGCCGCGGUGAAUACGUUCCCGGGCCU